GACCGCUUAGCUCAGUGGUAGAGCGUGUGAUUCCAGCUUACGCAAGCGUGGCUCCACAAGGUCGUCCGUUCAAUCCGGGCAGUGGUCA
Non-coding RNA from Ceratobasidium sp. 414, 88 nucleotides. The record is from the annotation of a GenBank genome assembly. NCBI's taxonomy places the organism in Eukaryota, Fungi, Basidiomycota, Agaricomycetes, Cantharellales, Ceratobasidiaceae.